GCCCUCGCGCGUCGGCCAGGAACCUCGGCCCCAUGCGGGCGGGCCAGCGCGGCCAGGAGGGCCGGGAAGAGGGGUCCCCGGGGCCCCGGAUGCGCUGAACUCCGGGGAGGGGAUGGGCAGGAGAGAGAGCACACUCCUGGAGCCGCGACGUCCAAACCCGGACGCACUUGAACCCGCAGCGAGGCCCGUGGCUCGCGGCCUUCGGAGAGCACCCGCGCCCCGCGCAGACCGGACGCCGGCCUUGCCCGAUCCUCGGCAUCCUUCGGCGGGGCGGCCAGUCCCAGGGCGCUCGCUGAGGGCCACACCCUGGCCCCAGAGUUUAGCACCGCCGCGGGCAGGGCGCUCCGCUCCCGGACCCCGAAUCUGAAAGCGGAGACCAAGGGCUGCCUGCGGCAAAGCUCGACAUACACUUGAUUUUCUUCCGAUUUGGAGAAAAUGUCACGGGCGAGAGCAAAAAAAAAAAAAAAAAAAAAAAAAAAAACCCUAACUGUAAAUAUUAUUUGGAGAUACGUGAUCAUUUAACACACGGGUGUUAAGUUCAUUCUUGCUGCAAAAGAAGGCCAUUGUACCUCCUGACCCUGAAAGCAAGAUGAAGUCACUGAGACACCAAAGGUUAAUUGCUUGCCCAAAGCCAUGUAGCAACUUGGUUGAAGUUACUUUAGUGUCGAAAGCUCCACAUAUGUGCUUUUCGCAAAAUCAAUAGUCACCCCAUGCAAACGAAGAGAUGGUAAUUAGAGAUGGGACAGACCCCAACAUAUCCUUCAUUUGAAGAUAGAAUAAAUUCAGCAAGAUACCUAAUUAUUAUCAUCAUCUUUCACAAAAACAUAUGUGAUUUUUCCCCCCUACCCAAAUGUUUUAGUGAAAACUGCAACUGUGCAUUAAAAGGCAGUUUUGCAUGCAUAUAUUCAGAGAACAAUAUGGAGAAUCUAUCCCUUGGGAUAAAAAAAAAAACACCCAGCAACAACAAACUUGAAAACAGAUGGUUCUGAUACAGUCUGAUAAGAAUGUAAACAAGAAAAUCUUUGUUGACUUAUUUCAUAGUAAUCAGUAAUAAUUAGUUAUUGUCUAGAGGUGAGUUACAAAUUUCACAAGCAUGGCCACGAACAGCCUCUGAAAAGUGAAGCUAAAUUUGUGACAUCAGUGAGGAAUUACUGACCCCUGCUGAACCCUCCUUAUUAACAUUUUUCUUGAUUGACAUAAAGGAAUGAAACCCUGGAAGAGGAUAAUUUCUGCAUUCUUUGUUUUUUCUUUUGUCAUCAUUUGAUUUAGAGAUAUUAGACCCCUCUGACUAAUCCAUGAAUUUUAAGUUCUUUGAAAAAGAACUUAAAUUUUCUCUACAGCUUAGAGAACUAAAGCUCUCUUUCCUUCCGUUUUUCCUUCCUUCCUUCCUUCCUUCCUUCCUUCCUUCCUUCCUUUCUUCCUUUUUUCUUCCCUCCCUCCCUUCUUUCCUUCCUUCCUUCCUUCCUUCCUUCCUUCCUUCCUUCCUUCCUUCCUUCCUUCCUUCCUUCCUUCAUGGGGUCCACAGUUUAGUUGGAGAGGCAAGUUUGUAAAAAAAUAACUAUCACCCAGUUUGUUAAGAAGUGGGCAAGGGCUGGAUGCCAUGGUUCAUGUCUGUAAUCCCAGCACUUUUCAGAGGCCAAGGAUGAGGAGGAUCACUUGAGCCCAGAAGUUUGAGACCAGCCUGGGCAACAAAAUGAGACUCCAUCUCUACAAAAAAAUUAAAAAAAGAUUAGCUAGGUUUGAUGGUGUAUGUCUGUGGUCCCAAAUACGUGGAAGGCUGAAGCAGGAGGAUCGCUUGAGCCCAGGAGAUCAAGGCUGAAGUGAGUUAUGAUUGCACCACUGCACUCCA
This 1849-nucleotide long non-coding RNA is filed under the name Homo sapiens (human). RNAcentral describes it as "non-protein coding LINC01117:11". The record is from RNAcentral. Lineage: Eukaryota; Metazoa; Chordata; Mammalia; Primates; Hominidae.